GCUCUCCCUCGUCGAACCCGACACCCCUAUCGCACGCUCUCUCUUUGGUAGUCUGACCACCUGCGAAUCUAGAGUCUCUCCCACUUCACCCGAACAACCCACCAUCCCUUCCUUCCCAUCUCUUCUCACUAAGUCCCGAUUCGCCAUCUCUAUUCUACAUGUAAUACUAAUAACAGUAAUAUCAUCUUUGAUUGUUGUUUGGAAUCAUUAGAGACAAGGAGAGAGUGGAAGG
Molecule: unclassified non-coding RNA, 232 nt
Filed under: Hevea brasiliensis (rubber tree)
Lineage: Eukaryota; Viridiplantae; Streptophyta; Magnoliopsida; Malpighiales; Euphorbiaceae
Source: RNAcentral